This 492-nucleotide ribosomal RNA is filed under the name uncultured bacterium. RNAcentral describes it as "partial 16S ribosomal RNA". It matches the Rfam family "Bacterial small subunit ribosomal RNA", at positions 29 to 507 of the family's 1533-position model. The record is from RNAcentral.
AGUGAACGCUGGCGGUAGGCCUAACACAUGCAAGUCGAACGGCAGCACAGUAAGAGCUUGCUCUUACGGGUGGCGAGUGGCGGACGGGUGAGGAAUACAUCGGAAUCUACUUUUUCGUGGGGGAUAACGUAGGGAAACUUACGCUAAUACCGCAUACGACCUACGGGUGAAAGCAGGGGAUCUUCGGACCUUGCGCGAUUGAAUGAGCCGAUGUCGGAUUAGCUAGUUGGCGGGGUAAAGGCCCACCAAGGCGACGAUCCGUGGCUGGUCUGAGAGGAUGAUCAGCAACACUGGAACUGAGACACGGUCCAGACUCCUACGGGAGGCAGCAGAGGGGAAUAUUGGACAAUGGGCGCAAGCCUGAUCCAGCCAUACCGCGUGGGUGAAGAAGGCCUUCGGGUUGUAAAGCCCUUUUGUUGGGAAAGAAAAGCAGCAGGUUAAUACCCCGCUGUUCUGACGGUACCCAAAGAAUAAGCACCGGCUAACUUCGUG